GGAUAUGAGGUUGCUCUGGCUGCCACACGUGUCACCCACUGAGAGCUAGGGUUGACUCGGCUGGUCUGGCUGGCUAGUCUGAUGUCCCUUCCUCCACACCGUUCCGUGUUGACGAGGACCAUCUUCCCCAAAUAGAGGAGGACUGGUUAAGGGCGUCCAAGUAGCUGUGCUCCCCUGCUAGAACCUCCCAACAGGCUCUCAGGAAUACAAGUAUUUCAAGAUAGACUAUCUAGAUGCCCUUGUUAAAUCAAGUCCUUGUUAGAUUCAGCUAGAAGCU
RNAcentral lists this small nuclear RNA (277 nucleotides) under Cricetulus griseus (Chinese hamster). RNAcentral's name for it is "7SK RNA". It matches the Rfam family "7SK RNA". From Rfam's summary of the family: 7SK was discovered as an abundant small nuclear RNA in the mid-70s but a possible function has only recently been suggested. The record is from Rfam by way of RNAcentral. Lineage: Eukaryota; Metazoa; Chordata; Mammalia; Rodentia; Cricetidae.